UUUCCUCUCUGCCCCAUAGGGUGU
RNAcentral lists this non-coding RNA (24 nucleotides) under Dasypus novemcinctus (nine-banded armadillo). RNAcentral also lists the same sequence under 9 other names. Lineage: Eukaryota; Metazoa; Chordata; Mammalia; Cingulata; Dasypodidae. The record is from miRBase by way of RNAcentral.